Molecule: ribosomal RNA, 645 nt
Filed under: uncultured fungus
Lineage: Eukaryota; Fungi
Description: eukaryotic LSU rRNA
Rfam family: 5.8S ribosomal RNA (bases 244-397)
Source: RNAcentral
AAGGAUCAUUACUGAAGGAAAAGAGUAGCAAAGAUUGUCGCUGGCUCGAAAGAGCAUGUGCACGCCUUUUGCUGCUUGAUUUCAUUCUAUUUCCACCUGUGCACCCUUUGUAGACACUUGGGGAAUGAGGUCUUGAUACCAAAAAGUUCUCUGGGUGUCUAUGUACUUUUUUUGAUACACACAGUUGAAUGUCUAUAGAAUGAGAUUGUAGGCUUUUUUGAUAGCCUUUAAAUGAUAAAAUACAACUUUCAACAACGGAUCUCUUGGCUCUCGCAUCGAUGAAGAACGCAGCGAAAUGCGAUAAGUAAUGUGAAUUGCAGAAUUCAGUGAAUCAUCGAAUCUUUGAACGCAUCUUGCGCUCCUUGGUAUUCCGAGGAGCAUGCCUGUUUGAGUGUCAUUAAGUAUCUCAAAAAACAAUUAUGCCUUUGGCAUAGGUUUUUUGGACAUUGGGAGUUGCCGGCUACUGAUGAAAAAAAGUGGUGGGCUCAUCUGAAAAGCAUUAGUUGAGGAGCUUUGCACUCUAUUGGUGUGAUAUACUAUCUAUGCCAGGAGAUGCUUUAUGGGAACCUCUGCUGUCUAACUGUCUUUAUCGGACAAUGUGAUGAACUUGACCUCAAAUCAGGUAGGACUACCCGCUGAACUUAA